RNAcentral lists this ribosomal RNA (279 nucleotides) under uncultured bacterium. Its description in RNAcentral is "partial 16S ribosomal RNA". It matches the Rfam family "Bacterial small subunit ribosomal RNA", at positions 506 to 784 of the family's 1533-position model. The record is from RNAcentral.
UGCCAGCCGCCGCGGUAAAACGUAGGAGGCGAACGUUAUCCGGAUUUACUGGGUGUAAAGCGCGUGCAGGCGGGUUGGUAAGUUGCUUGUGAAAGCGCCCGGCUCAACCGGGCGAGGACGAGCGAGACUGCCGAUCUAGAGGCAGGUAGAGGCGUAUGGAAUUCCGGGUGUAGUGGUGAAAUGCGUAGAGAUCCGGAGGAACACCAGUGGCGAAGGCGAUACGCUGGGCCUGACCUGACGCUAAGACGCGAAAGCAUGGGGAGCGAACGGGAUUAGAUA